Molecule: unclassified non-coding RNA, 496 nt
Filed under: Hevea brasiliensis (rubber tree)
Lineage: Eukaryota; Viridiplantae; Streptophyta; Magnoliopsida; Malpighiales; Euphorbiaceae
Source: RNAcentral
GCUCCUAAUCCUUAGUUUUGGUGCUGAUCAAAUGAUUAUGCAUAGCUAGUUUUUAUGUGUUUGUACAUAUAUAAGCAAGAGAGUAUAAACCAAAGAAAUUCUCCUUUUUUUCAAUAUAAUGAAUAAAUUAAAUGGUUAUGAUCAGUGGCUAAAUUAUUACUUUAAAUAAGAGAAAUACCCAGAUCUGUAAUAACCAGAGUUUAUCUUUGUGAUUGCUCUGGGACAAAAUAGUUUUUCCCUCUUUACAGUUUUCUACUUUAGGGGGUUUUUAAAGAAGUGUCUUAUUCAAAGAGGACGAGAGAAUGGAGGGUGUAAAUUCAUUAGUUAUCUUUAUUUUUUUUUUUCUUUUUGGUGUAUUUUCUGGUUUCUUUGAGAAGAAGAUAUCUUAUCCUCUAAUCUUUCUUUCUCACCUUGACUCUGAAUUAGUUAAAUCUCACACAAGAUUUUUAGUAGAUGCAACAGGUUUUUUGAGCAGUAUACAUUGUUGUGUCACAGG